Molecule: long non-coding RNA, 488 nt
Filed under: Physcomitrium patens
Lineage: Eukaryota; Viridiplantae; Streptophyta; Bryopsida; Funariales; Funariaceae
Description: long non-coding RNA (PPAT_LNC004427)
Source: RNAcentral
GUCAAAAUUUAGUCAAAUCUUAAUAAAUUCUUGGUCAAAUCCUUGUCAAAUCCUCAUCAAUUCCUAAAUAAGCCCUAAUCAAAUCUUAGACAAAUCCUAGUCAAAUCCUAAACAAAUCCUAACCAAAUCCUAAUCAAAUCCUAAAUAAAUCCUAAAAAACUCUAAUCAAAUCCUAACCUAAAUCAAAUCAUAAUCCUAAUCAAACCUUAAAUCAAAUCCAAAAUCUUAAUCCUAAUCCUAAACCAAAUCCUAAUCAAUCUCAAGUUAUUUCUAUAGCACAUUUAAAUCUCAAUAACUAAUGAAUGAACUAUUGAUUUUAAUUCAAAAUUUGUACAAUUUAUAAUAAUCAAGUUGACAAAAAGUAUAAAUAUUUUGAAAAAGAUUGAAUUUACUAAAAAAAGAUCAAUUCUAAAAUCUGCUCAAGUAUCGGCCAUUCUCCUACUCAAAUUUGAAUGAUGAAAUUCCAGUAUCAAAAUCUCCCUUUCAAA